Molecule: transfer RNA, 72 nt
Filed under: Sphaerodactylus townsendi
Lineage: Eukaryota; Metazoa; Chordata; Lepidosauria; Squamata; Sphaerodactylidae
Description: tRNA-Pro
Rfam family: tRNA
About the family: Transfer RNA (tRNA) molecules are approximately 80 nucleotides in length. Their secondary structure includes four short double-helical elements and three loops (D, anti-codon, and T loops). Further hydrogen bonds mediate the characteristic L-shaped molecular structure. tRNAs have two regions of fundamental functional importance: the anti-codon, which is responsible for specific mRNA codon recognition, and the 3' end, to which the tRNAs corresponding amino acid is attached (by aminoacyl-tRNA synthetases). tRNAs cope with the degeneracy of the genetic code in two manners: having more than one tRNA (with a specific anti-codon) for a particular amino acid; and 'wobble' base-pairing, i.e. permitting non-standard base-pairing at the 3rd anti-codon position.
Source: RNAcentral
GGGGCUGUGGCACAGUGGCAGAGCAUCUGCUUGGGCUGCAGAAGGUCCCAGGUUCGAAUCCUGGAAUCUCCA